AUGCACCUUUUAACAUUUAUUCUUGUUUGGUUUUUCUGCAUAAAUGUUCAGUCUUUUACUCGUAAAAGAGCAACAUGCAAUACUACAGAGAUAAUGUGGAUUCCUGACAAAUCUGACUAUUUUGAAGAGCAAGUUGAACUGCAACUUACUUCCAGAACAGGCAUGAAUCCUGAUUCAAUGGCGAAGAUUGUACAGGAAGAGUGCAAAUUCGAGAAAAACGGUUGUUUCUUCGGUCAAACGAAAAAAGAGAUUUGCAAUAGUCAAAGGAGCGCAUUUUCUAUAUAAAUUCGUGAAAGUGAUCAGUUUUGUGCAGCUGCUCCGAGACCUGUACAGGGGCAGAGGGCUAAUUAAGCUUUACUUCGAACUUGAGAAAAUGAAUAGAGACCUAGAAGAAGAAUAUUUUCGAACGAGUAUUCAAAUUCUGAUGAGUGGUGAGAAAAUUCCGAAGUCAAUUCUCAAUCACCCGAAAGUUUUAUUUGUGAUAAAAAAAAGAAUUCCAAUCGAAAACCAAUACCUCCUAUCACAUGUUUCUGCGGCAGAUGCAACGUGUUACCAACGUAAAAAGCGUUCUAGAGUCGUCAUCGUGUUGAACCUUAAAAUUCCAAAAGUUCAUCAGAACCGUGUGAAGAAAUGCGUUUCUUUCAAUAAUGGCUCACUUUAUCACGUUUCGGAGACGGAAUCGUUGCGAACACUGAGAGUAGAUAUCAAGAAAUGUUUUUUUGAGAACUUGACAUUUUGCCCUCAUGCAGCAGUUCGUGAAAUCAAUUGCACUGAUGAAAAUCUCAGAGCUUACAAGAUUUCAGUUGGGAGGAAAGCCUGA
Molecule: unclassified non-coding RNA, 820 nt
Filed under: Caenorhabditis elegans
Lineage: Eukaryota; Metazoa; Nematoda; Chromadorea; Rhabditida; Rhabditidae
Description: Non-coding transcript of protein-coding gene D1005.5b
Source: RNAcentral